Molecule: ribosomal RNA, 301 nt
Filed under: uncultured bacterium
Lineage: Bacteria
Description: partial 16S ribosomal RNA
Rfam family: Bacterial small subunit ribosomal RNA
Source: RNAcentral
CAGUAGCCGCGGUAACACGUAGGGUGCAAGCGUUAAUCGGAAUUACUGGGCGUAAAGCGUGCGCAGGCGGUUAUAUAAGACAGAUGUGAAAUCACCGGGCUCAACCUGGGAACUGCAUUUGUGACUGUAUAGCUAGAGUACGGCAGAGGGGGAUGGAAUUCCGCGUGUAGCAGUGAAAUGCGUAGAUAUGCGGAGGAACACCGAUGGCGAAGGCAAUCCCCUGGGCCUGUACUGACGCUCAUGCACGAAAGCGUGGGGAGCAAACAGGAUUAGAUACCCGUGUAGUCCCUGUCUCUUAUAC